ACAGAAAAGGCCGGGCGUACGGAAGGUCAUUA
This 32-nucleotide ribosomal RNA is filed under the name Hornodermoporus latissimus. RNAcentral's name for it is "partial 18S ribosomal RNA". The record is from RNAcentral. Lineage: Eukaryota; Fungi; Basidiomycota; Agaricomycetes; Polyporales; Polyporaceae.